UAAGCCCAGCACUGAACCUCGUGUCUCCGGAUACCGAGGAAUGUAGUGUUCAGGAGAGAGGUGGUUUGCCUGUCCGGUGAUUGUCCAAGUCCCCAUGAUCGGGGCUAGAGUCCGCAGAGGGUGUCAGGCCCGUAGUGACGCACCGCGACCGUGAACGCUUGAUCUCCUAAGAGUCGGGUUGCUUGAGAGUGCAGCCCUAAGCGGGAGGUAAACUCCUUCUAAGGCUAAAUACCGCCACGAGACCGAUAGCAAACAAGUACCGCGAGGGAAAGUUGAAAAGAACUUUGAAGAGAGAGUUCAAGAGUGCGUGAAACCGUUCAGGGGGUUAAACGGGUGGGCCCUCGAAGGUCGAACGGCAUCUACUCCCGUUACCUGCAUACGAGCCUGCGCUGGGACGAGUCGCAUUCUGCGGCCGCCGAGUGUGGUACGCUUGGGGCGUGCAGGGACCGCUAGUUGGAUGCCUAGUAGGACUCCGCAACCGGCUGUGCGGUCGUCAGACGGGUCUUGAGGAGCGGCCUCCUUGUGGGGUUGUCUUUUUGAGAUUCCCGGCGACCACUCGGCCGUUGAGUGCUGCCUCGCUGUUCCUCAUGGAUGGACGAGCGUUUUGACCUUUGCGGGGAGAAGCGUUGUCGGUUCGUUCGAGGCUCCGGUGAGAAGCGCGGAGAGUAGGUCGGGUCCCACCCGACCCGUCUUGAAACACGGACCAAGGAGUCUAACAUGUGCGCGAGUCGUCGAGUUGUACCAAACUCGAAGGCGUAAUGAAAGUAAAGGCUAGGCUUGCCCUAGCUGAGGGGAGAUCCCGUUUCUGCUUCGGUAGCGCGGGCGCAUCCCCGGGGCGUCUAGACUGCGUUGCCAGUCGGACGCACCUAGAGCGUACACGUUGGGACCCGAAAGAUGGUGACCUAUGCCUGGCC
RNAcentral lists this ribosomal RNA (914 nucleotides) under Triops australiensis. RNAcentral's name for it is "partial large subunit ribosomal RNA". It matches the Rfam family "Eukaryotic large subunit ribosomal RNA", at positions 104 to 842 of the family's 3401-position model. The record is from RNAcentral. Lineage: Eukaryota; Metazoa; Arthropoda; Branchiopoda; Notostraca; Triopsidae.